AUACAGUCCUGGCUUCCUGGCUGGGCACUUGGGGUCAUUGACAAAGUAGCCCCAGCCUCUUUUCCGGCUGUUUCUCCCUCACUGACACUGAGAACAGCCCCACUGCCUUUCUCCAUAUUUCUCAUACCUGACCUGCACAUCCCCACUUCCAAGCCUCAGCAUGGGCUGUUCCCCAUCCUCCAGGGAUCCUUUUCUGACCACAAUCUUUAGCCCACACAACUGCUUCUCCUUACUGUGACUCAAAAGUGAUGCACACCUACCAAUCCUGCGUCUUGAAUGUCCAACUUUCCUCCCUUGACAGAUGAGGAUGCUGGACUCUAGGGAGAGUCAGUAACUUGCCUGAAGGCACAGCUGGGAAACAAGAGAGCUGGCAUUCAAAUCCACGCACUCCAGCUUCAGUGCUCGAACCUCAGAGUGCUCUCCAUGAAGAGCAUGUUUCCUUUCCCUCAGUAGAGGGAGAGAGCGCUAGAUGACACAACUGUUAAAACCGUAUAAUAACCACGUGAAUACCUUGCUAGGAUGCCCUGCAGUCUUUGGAAGGACAGGGGCAAGUGAAGAAACCUGAAGCUGAAGCUCCAUUAGCUUUGUGGCGAGUCAACCCUGGUCAAGGUUGGAGGUGGGGCUCAGAAGAACUAAACCAACAGAUACUUCCAGCUGUACACACUCAUCCCAGCCAGCGACACCCACUCUUCAGGUCCAUGGUCCCAGGCCGCAGCAAAGUUCUGAGACUAAGGUGAGAAUAAGGUGAAAUUAUGCACAUUUUCUGUUUGUGUGUAGAGAAAGAGAGAAACAACUUCCUCAACCCGAGAUGAGGUUGUCUCUGGGCGACUAGCCAUCUGGUUCACCAAAACAAGAUUUUCUCUGAUUUUGCAUGUAAGCUGUUUUUGUUUGUCUUUUUUACCACUUUGGUCCUAAAGGGUUUAUUUUCUGUUACCCACUCCCCACAGAACCUCUGCAUUCUGGGAUGGAAUGUAGGGUGAUGGAAUCCUUAGAGGUGGGUGAGAGGAAUCCCACUGGGCCCCCCAGCAUGGCCUGGGGCCUUCCUGGGCUUGGCAGUGGUUAAGAGUGUGAGCACCAGAACCAAACAGCUGGGCUCUGACACUGACUCCCUCCAACCAUAGUCCCGGGACAAACUCACCCCUCCGUUCUUCCCAUUCUGUAUCAGUAGAGCAGAGGAAAAGUGAUGAGCAGCACGUGGGAGUUGUGGGAAUUGAGUCGUUGCCGCUCAAGUGCUUGUACAGGGCCUAGCACUUCGUAACUGCUCACUGCGGGAAAGGGAACAGGUUUAUUAAGGGUUUGAUGAACAGAACUGGAGGAAAUUGGGAGGGGGCAAGGGCCCUGUCCUUAUGCCAGGAACUCCUCCCUUCCUUUCUUCUCCAGGCCUCACUGGGAGCUGCACCCUCUGCUCCUCUGGCCUGGGAAAGAGCCAGAUGUCUUGUCUCCUGUUUCCCAUCAGAGAGGGUUUCCUCUGGCUCCAACGCCUUCCUUGCAGUGUAUGAGGCGGCUUUACCUGCCUCAAAGGUCAGCUAGCAAACACCUAGAGAGUAUUCUAGACAGACCCUGGCUGCAAUUCCCAGGCUUUCCCUGCUAAAUCUGGCAGAAUCUGCCCUGGGGUGUGCCAAAUGUCAAUCACAAGAAGGACAGGUCACACUGCUUCUUCCGAGAAGCCUCUCUAGAUUUCACCGCCCUGCCUUGAACUCUGCCCAUAUCCUGUGUCUCCUGUAACCCUGGGCUCAGCUUGUCCAAAAGCUGUUCCCUGCUAACCAUGGCUAGUGUGCUUCUCGAAUUGUGAGCCAAAAGCAAAUGUUCAAAAGCACAACCAGAGAUUUAUAUGGCAUAGGGGUGUAUUUUCCCAGAGAGCUAAAAAAAGAUUGUAAAAUCGUAAUUAUAUCCACAUUUUAUGCAUAAUUUUUGCAAUAUACUAACCAUAUUUUGAACAUGUUCAUUCAUUUACUUCUGCUACAAUUCAACAUGCAGUCACUCAACAGAUAUCUGUUGAGCACCUCCUAGGUACCAGACACCAUUCCAGGUAUUCAGAAUAUAUCCCUCGUGGGGCGCACAAUCUAAUAACAGAAGGAGAUGGAUAAUGAAAACUUCACAUCAUAAAUGUUAGAUGGUGAUAAGUGCUAUGGGGAGGAAACAAAGGGAGACAAAAGCAGAGCCCAAGAGAGAAGAUCCAGAAUGCAGGUGGAGGGUAGAGUGCAGGUUGCAAUUUAAAACAGGAGGAUCAGGGAAAGCCUCAUUGAUACACUAAGAUUUGAGCAAUGACUUGGAAAGGAGGUGAGGGAUGAGCCGCGUGGAAAUCAAGGAAAGGGCAUUCUGGGUACAGGGCCCUAAGGCGCGAACGUGCCUGGCAUGCAUCUGAACACAGCUUAAUUCUGGUGAGCAUCUGAUUGUGGCUUCUUUGGUCUUCCUUGGGCGUGCCUAAGGACUCCUAUCUUUGUCUCAUUUAUAUUAAGUUCAUGAGAUCUGUGCUUUCUACUCCAGCUUUCCACUCAUCUUUAUAAAACAGUAAGGACAAAAUUAAAUGAAAUGUGCAAAAUAACUGCACAAACUCUGUGCUGGGUGCCUGGUGACGCGGAACCGUCGGCUGGCACGCUGCGCCCCCACGUGGAAGCUUGCAAGGUUUGGCCCCCUAGGCACGGAAGUUCCUAUCUGGCCCCUGGAAAGCAGCCCAGGGGGACCAGGCUUAGUGCCCAAAUGUACGCGCUGUGCAAAAGAGAAACUUAUGAAGUCAAGGACCUCGUGGCGUGUUAGACGAGAGCCCGAGGGCAGGGGUGGGGGUGCAGUGCUGAUGGGGAUGUGGGCCACACCCGCUAGCUUUCCUCCCCGAGCCAGAGAAGAUGUUCCUGUCCUUGAACAAGAGAGCAGACAGUUCCCCCAGGCAGCUGUGUGCAUGGGGGGAGGAGGGGGUUCCGGGAGGGUGCUGUGCUGCAUGGCCCUCGACACAGAUGUGCACUCGCAUGCGCUUGGCAAAGGUGCUCCCCGCACUGGACGUGCAUUUGUUUUUCCUCCAGGACUGUGUUCUGGACAAGGACCUCCUGAGGCACCCAUGCUGCAGUUCCCAGAGGCUUAAGGACGGCUGCGGGACGUGUGGGCGUCUGGGUUGGGUCACCUCUCCAAGGAUGCCUUCUCUGACCACCCAGCGUAGUUCCCCAGGCACUCCGUCACUGUCCUGCUGUAACCCCUUCCUGGCGAUCCUCUUCGCCUGAUAUUUUUGUGCUCACUGAUGGAUGAGCUCUGCUCAUGAAAAUGCAAAGUCCCUUAAGAGCAGAGUCCGUGUCUGUUCUUUUGGCUGCACUGUUACCUGCACAGAGAAGAGUGCCCAACCGAGAUUGUGCAUUCAAUACGUAUAUUUUAUUAGUUGAAAUAAAUGAAUGAUGUUUAAGACCUGGCUUAUGCAUUUUCUUUAAUGAAGAGAUGGAGAAAACAUAGCAUGCUGGAGCAGAAGGGAG
Molecule: long non-coding RNA, 3455 nt
Filed under: Homo sapiens (human)
Lineage: Eukaryota; Metazoa; Chordata; Mammalia; Primates; Hominidae
Description: HSALNT0366347
Source: RNAcentral